AGAUAAGAAAAAGAGAAAAAAGAAAACAGCUGCGCUGUACAAGUCGUGGACUAGCUGCUGUACUCUCUCCCGAAUCCCACUCCAUUUUGCCCUCUCUCUCUCUCUCUCUCUCUCCUAUGGAACCACGGCCUCCUUCUCUCUCCUCCACAGCGGUGGCCUCCACCGUCGUUCCCGCAGCCACCUCUUGUAUACCUCCUCCUCGUCCUCACGUGCCAUCAUCUUACCCCGAGUCCCUAGACUCCUCCCCUAAGUCCCGCACUACGGAUGCUUGGGACGAUCUUCCUCCUCCCGGUGGCGGCGCUUCUUCCAAACUCCGUCUCAUGUGCAGUUACAACGGUCACAUCCUUCCCCGCCCGCAGGACAAGUCGCUCUGUUACAUGGGCGGCGACACUCGCAUCAUUGCCCUCGACCGUACCUCCUCCCUCUCUUCUCUCAUCACUCGUCUCUCCAACACGCUACUCAACGGCCGCUCCUUCACGCUCAAGUACCAGUUACCCAGCGAAGACCUUGAUUCCUUAAUCUCCGUCACCACCGACGAGGAUCUCGAUAACAUGAUCGAGGAGUAUGACCGUACGAUCAGUUCCGCCAAACCUUGUCGUCUGCGUUUGUUUCUCUUCACGGCGAAGCCUGAAGCUACUCAAUCGAUGGGUCAGGUUCUAGAGAGUUCGGCUAAGAGUGACGAUUGGUUCCUCAAUAGAGGAUUCUCAGAUUCUGAUUCCGACGACAAUCGUUUACUUGGCUUGGACGAUACUCUCCGCUCUAAUCUCGUCUCCAAAGAUGACGAUGGUAAACAUCAGCAGCAGAUUCAACAGCCUCCAGGAGGUCAAGAUGUGCAUAACUUGCCCGACUCUCCGAUGUUGGAUACAUCCUCCUCUUUUGGAUCAACUUCUUCCUCUCCCUCGCUCGCGAAUCUCCCUCCGAUUCGCGUCCAUGUAGAGGAAGCUAAGGGGAUGCAGGAUCAGACGCUUGGAAUCGCAGAACAUUUCGCACGAUUCAACGUCGGGAAUAAGCUUCAAGACGACGGAUUCGCAGCGAUCUCGUCACCACCGCCGAUGCCUGCGCCGGUGAAUGCUCCAACCGUCUCAAGUGGGGUCUUCUCCGACGACGAGAGAUCCAAUCACGGUGUGCCAGCUGGAUACAGAAAACCUCCGACUCAGCAGGUGAAAUCGAACAGCCGUGGACACGAGAUGCCAUCACCCGAUUCCGUUUCCAGUGAUAGCAGCAUGAACAACUCUGUGUUUCAUCAAAGACCUUCUGUCAACCAAGAGCCAGUUUCUCAGAUGCCUUCUUGUUCUUCCACUGUAGUUACUGGUCUGACUAAUCCUUCAGAUCCAAACACACUCUUGUCACAUCAUCAGAAUCAGGACUCAAGCUACAUCCUUCACCCUCAAUAAUCUCAGCCACAACAGCAACAAUUCAUACACUCACCUCAGUACCUUCAUCACCAUCCCUCUACUGGCCUUCCUCUCCAAAGUUACAUCCAGGUUUACCCUUCCCAGCCUCAGCAGUCCUUCCACAUGCACCCUAGUCAACUAGAUCACCAGCCUUGCCCCUUUUAUUAUACCACUGCUCCAGUCCCACCUAAGCCUUACAAUAUGCCUCUCACCCAAUCUGGCAGUGUGAGUGAUUCUCUAGGGUCUCUCCCUUCUAGCCAUCCCCAGACGCUGCCUAAUUCCACCAUGAUGGCUCCACCACCUAACAAUCAUUUGAGAAAUACUCCGCAACCUACGGGUGGUGCUCAGAUUGUUCACCAGGUACCACCUAUAAGUCUGCAGCAAUUCAUGGGGUAUUCUCAGAUUCAUCACCCACCCCAGUCUGGUUCACUUGGGAUUCCCAACUAUGGAUAUGAAUAUGUGGAAAAUGCGCCCAAGCAGGUAUACUACACGCAACAGAUGGGUCACGCACAGUAUCAGAUGGUGCUGGCUGAUGGCUCUCCUGUUGCUGCUAAGCUUCCAGCUGAGAACAUGGCUCAACAGAUCCGGAGUUCACAGCCAAUGUGACACACAAGGAAGAUGGAUAACAAUUUUGGAUGAAGGAACUCUGGUUGGUUUCGGAACAUAUAAAUGUAUAAUCUUUUUUUUCUCUCUCUCUCUUGUUUUCGAAGUUGCUGCAUGCGAUCAAGUGUCUAGUUUCAUGUUUGUUUGGUAUUUAUGGACUAUGUCAAAAUAUGUUGUGUGAGUAAGUAGAGUAUAAGGUAGUAGUGUUGCUUCUUUGUAAUUUACAUUAUAGUUACGAUGGAUACUGGUUUCCUGGAUCUUAUAUCAUAUUAUUGUCAUU
This is an RNA transcript of Brassica napus (rape), 2277 nucleotides long. RefSeq lists it as uncharacterized. Lineage: Eukaryota; Viridiplantae; Streptophyta; Magnoliopsida; Brassicales; Brassicaceae. The transcript has 2 exons. The record is from RefSeq and is a predicted model, not a curated record.